RNAcentral lists this ribosomal RNA (253 nucleotides) under uncultured bacterium. Its description in RNAcentral is "partial 16S ribosomal RNA". It matches the Rfam family "Bacterial small subunit ribosomal RNA", at positions 524 to 776 of the family's 1533-position model. The record is from RNAcentral.
UACGGAGGGGGCUAGCGUUGUUCGGAAUUACUGGGCGUAAAGCGCACGUAGGCGGCUUUGUGAGUUAGAGGUGAAAGCCCAGGGCUCAACCCUGGAAUUGCCUUUAAGACUGCAUCGCUUGAACAUCGGAGAGGUAAGUGGAAUUCCGAGUGUAGAGGUGAAAUUCGUAGAUAUUCGGAAGAACACCAGUGGCGAAGGCGACUUACUGGACGAUUGUUGACGCUGAGGUGCGAAAGCGUGGGGAGCAAACAGG